This 497-nucleotide ribosomal RNA is filed under the name uncultured bacterium. RNAcentral's name for it is "partial 16S ribosomal RNA". It matches the Rfam family "Bacterial small subunit ribosomal RNA", at positions 28 to 507 of the family's 1533-position model. The record is from RNAcentral.
GAUGAACGCUGGCGGCGUGCCUAAUACAUGCAAGUCGAGCGAACAGAUGAGGAGCUUGCUCCUCUGACGUUAGCGGCGGAUGGGUGAGUCACACGUGGAUAACCUACCUAUAAGACUGGGAUAACUUCGGGAAACCGGAGCUAAUACCGGAUAAUAUAUUGAACCGCAUGGUUCAAUAGUGAAAGACGGUUUUGCUGUCACUUAUAGAUGGAUCCGCGCCGCAUUAGCUAGUUGGUAAGGUAACGGCUUACCAAGGCGACGAUGCGUAGCCGACCUGAGAGGGUGAUCGGCCACACUGGAACUGAGACACGGUCCAGACUCCUACGGGAGGCAGCAGUAGGGAAUCGUCCGCAAUGGGCGAAAGCCUGACGGAGCAACGCCGCGUGAGUGAUGAAGGUCUUCGGAUCGUAAAACUCUGUUAUUAGGGAAGAACAAAUGUGUAAGUAACUAUGCACGUCUUGACGGUACCUAAUCAGAAAGCCACGGCUAACUACGUG